AUGUUGGUAGUUCAGUGGUAGAAUUCUCAUCUUCCAUGUGGGAAAUCCAGGUUCAAUUCCCAGUCAAUGUA
This 71-nucleotide transfer RNA is filed under the name Loxodonta africana (African savanna elephant). It matches the Rfam family "tRNA". From Rfam's summary of the family: Transfer RNA (tRNA) molecules are approximately 80 nucleotides in length. The record is from Rfam by way of RNAcentral. Lineage: Eukaryota; Metazoa; Chordata; Mammalia; Proboscidea; Elephantidae.